Molecule: ribosomal RNA, 253 nt
Filed under: uncultured bacterium
Lineage: Bacteria
Description: partial 16S ribosomal RNA
Rfam family: Bacterial small subunit ribosomal RNA
Source: RNAcentral
UACGGAGGGUGCAAGCGUUAUCCGGAUUCACUGGGUUUAAAGGGUGCGUAGGUGGGUUGGUAAGUCAGUGGUGAAAUCUCCGAGCUUAACUUGGAAACUGCCAUUGAUACUAUCAAUCUUGAAUACUGUGGAGGUCAGCGGAAUAUGUCAUGUAGCGGUGAAAUGCUUAGAUAUGACAUAGAACACCAAUUGCGAAGGCAGCUGGCUACACAAAUAUUGACACUGAGGCACGAAAGCGUGGGGAUCAAACAGG